This is a long non-coding RNA of Etheostoma cragini (Arkansas darter), 153 nucleotides long. RefSeq lists it as uncharacterized. The transcript has 4 exons. The record is from RefSeq and is a predicted model, not a curated record. NCBI's taxonomy places the organism in Eukaryota, Metazoa, Chordata, Actinopteri, Perciformes, Percidae.
UUUUAAAGAUUAGAUUUGUUGCUACACUGUUAAUCAAUGCUCUGUUUUCACAUUAUCAAUUUUUUUGAGAAGCACUGAUGUGUUAAUUAGGUGUGUGCAUUCUCUUUUUGACUCCCUGUUGACUCGCACUAAAUAAAGUGAUUAUUUUUGUCA